This 396-nucleotide unclassified non-coding RNA is filed under the name Hevea brasiliensis (rubber tree). The record is from RNAcentral. Lineage: Eukaryota; Viridiplantae; Streptophyta; Magnoliopsida; Malpighiales; Euphorbiaceae.
GGCAUCCUCAAGAAAUUGGGAAGAGACACUUUUAAAGACGGAGAGAAGCAGAGGUCUGUCAUAGCUGUGGACGGUGCAUUGUUUGAGCAUUACACCAAGUUCAGAAAUUGCUUGAAGGAAACUAUGAAAGAGUUACUGGGAGAUGCUGCAGAUAGCACAGUCAUUGAGCUUUCUAAUGAUGGUUCAGGCGUUGGAGCUGCACUUUUGGCUGCCUCACAUUCCCAAUACACAGAUCUCGAGGAAUCUUGAUCAUGGUCAGAGUGACACAACCAAAAGUGCCUGGUCAAGAGUUCUCUACGUUUACAAUCGCCCCUCUUCUUGCUAAAGGGAACCCACUUCUUACUUUCUUCUACGAGACGAUUGAAAUAUUUCUUGCUUCCUUGUGCACUGUGUCAU